RNAcentral lists this ribosomal RNA (301 nucleotides) under uncultured bacterium. RNAcentral's name for it is "partial 16S ribosomal RNA". It matches the Rfam family "Bacterial small subunit ribosomal RNA", at positions 509 to 807 of the family's 1533-position model. The record is from RNAcentral.
CAGUAGCCGCGGGAAUACAGAGGGUGCAAGCGUUAAUCGGAAUUACUUGGCGUAAAGCGCGCGUAGGUGGUUUGUUAAGUUGGAUGUGAAAGCCCCGGGCUCAACCUGGGAACUGCAUCCAAAACUGGCAAGCUAGAGUACGGUAGAGUGUGGUGGAAUUUCCUGUGUAGCGGUGAAAUGCGUAGAUAUAGGAAGGAACACCAGUGGCGAAGGCGACCACCUGGACUGAUACUGACACUGAGGUGCGAAAGCGUGGGGAGCAAACAGGAUUAGAUACCCCAGUAGUCCCUGUCUCUUAUAC